CGGUCCCACCCUGCAACUUUUUCUUAUCUUCAUCAUUUACGUUACAUAUUCAUAAGCUCUUUGCCAUGUUCCAGUUCAAUACACUUCAUCAUCCUAAUUGAAUUCAACCUAAAUUUAACCUUCAUAACAAAGCCCCUGUCAGACUCCCUUGAUCACACUUUACUCACAUUGAGACUCUGCAGCACAUCCUGAGACACUCACAUGUCCCCAUCUCUUCCUUUACGUUUU
This 228-nucleotide long non-coding RNA is filed under the name Vigna radiata. RNAcentral's name for it is "long non-coding RNA (VRAD_LNC002598)". The record is from RNAcentral. Lineage: Eukaryota; Viridiplantae; Streptophyta; Magnoliopsida; Fabales; Fabaceae.